Poeciliopsis prolifica (blackstripe livebearer) is the source of this 745-nucleotide long non-coding RNA. RefSeq lists it as uncharacterized. The transcript is spliced from 5 exons. NCBI's taxonomy places the organism in Eukaryota, Metazoa, Chordata, Actinopteri, Cyprinodontiformes, Poeciliidae. The record is from RefSeq and is a predicted model, not a curated record.
UUUGUUAGGUUAGCAUUACAAUGGGUAAAUUCAAAUUUAAAUGUUAACGAUACGAUCCGUUUUUUGUGCAAGUAAAGCCAUAAAGGAUGUCUGUUUGUUGCCAUAGUUGACCGUUGUACAGCUAAUUGCUAUUCUUUUUUGUAAGGAUAGCAUUAGAAAGUUGACAAAGAAGCGAAAAAUGUUUGACUUCCACGUUGAAGCACAUUUUGUACACCGACAGUUCCACGAAAAGCUGGGAAACAGCAUUUGAAGAAGAAGCUGUUUAUUUUAAAGGCUGGCUGAACUCGGGCACAUGGAGUGAGUGUGAGGAUCUGUCCAACUUUGACAACAUUGCAAAUGAGUUUUAAUAAUCCCUGUGACUGAACCCAGAGCAGAGCAGUGCAGGAGGAAAGGAGUCUCCUCCUCAAGGGUUGCAGUGCAGCAGGAUUGGCUGGAAAGCUGAGAAGGGUUGCUGUGAAGGACAAGUAGGAAGCAUCAAAACAAGAUAUGCUGUCAUGCAUUUGCUGCAGUCUUACCUUUCCACACUCAUCAAAUUCGCUAAAGAUCUCUGAAUCGUCAUCCAGGCUGUCUCCAGAGCUCUCAAGCAGCAGUCCUACCCCAUCGUCCAGAAUCUCCUCUGCAUCGAAACAAAAACACAAGCGCUUUUUGUUUCCUGCUUCUUGAUCUCAGCACGCAGCAGCCUAACGGUGUCUUCUCUGUGAUGCUGCCGAGCGACGGCGGUGGCGCAUGCUGAGUGGAUGGCUGU